Long non-coding RNA from Cyprinodon tularosa, 175 nucleotides. RefSeq lists it as uncharacterized. NCBI's taxonomy places the organism in Eukaryota, Metazoa, Chordata, Actinopteri, Cyprinodontiformes, Cyprinodontidae. The transcript has 3 exons. The record is from RefSeq and is a predicted model, not a curated record.
AAAGAGCAGAAGAGGGAAAUCAGGUUGCUUAAACUCUCAGAGGAGCAGAAGGAAAUGAUGUUUCUCAGCAGGAAGGAUCGGAGCACUCACACAGAAGAGAAAAUUUCCAAAAUGGAGAAAAGUAUUGCUUUAAUGAAAAAGAGCCACGAGAGAAACAUUGAGCAGCGCAAGAAAA